GCAGCGGGACAGGCGGUCGCCGGCGGACGGGGAAACCCGGACGCGGGAGGAAAGUCCGAGCUCCGCAGGGCAGGGUGCCGGGUAACGCCCGGUGGGAGUGAUCUCGAGGAGAGUGCCACAGAGAACAGACCGCCUCGCCGUGGGGAAACCCAUCACGAGGUAAGGGUGAAACGGUGGGGUAAGAGCCCACCGCGUCCCUGGUAACAGGGAUGGCACGGUAAACCCCACCUGGAGCAAGGCCGUGUAGGGAAGCGCUUCUCGGCUCCGGCCGAGAGGCAGGGGUGGCCCGCCCCGACGCUUCCGGGUUGGCUGCUGGAGGCGCGCGGUGACGCGCGUCCUAGAGGAAUGAUCGUCGGCCCGAGGAGGGAGACCUCUCCGGGCAACAGAACUCGGCUUAUGUCUCCUGCGACC
Molecule: RNase P RNA, 411 nt
Filed under: Chondromyces crocatus
Lineage: Bacteria; Pseudomonadati; Myxococcota; Polyangiales; Polyangiaceae
Description: Bacterial RNase P class A
Rfam family: Bacterial RNase P class A
About the family: Ribonuclease P (RNase P) is a ubiquitous endoribonuclease, found in archaea, bacteria and eukarya as well as chloroplasts and mitochondria. Its best characterised activity is the generation of mature 5'-ends of tRNAs by cleaving the 5'-leader elements of precursor-tRNAs.
Source: Rfam by way of RNAcentral